This 424-nucleotide long non-coding RNA is filed under the name Triticum aestivum (bread wheat). RNAcentral describes it as "long non-coding RNA (TAES_LNC006041)". Lineage: Eukaryota; Viridiplantae; Streptophyta; Magnoliopsida; Poales; Poaceae. The record is from RNAcentral.
UGGCGAUGAUAGAAAUGGUAGCUCUAGUCCCAUCUAGUCGUUGUCCUGGAUCCGAGUGGUGAAGUUGCUAGUCUGGUUUCCUUCCUGUAGGGUCCUGUGCUCGGACCACCCUCUGUUCCUUCGUUUUUAGCAUGUUUUAAUUCAGUCUCUGUCGGAUGUACCUAGUGUCGUGCCUGUGGUUGUUUUAAGAAUCCUACCCAGAUCUCAAUAUAUAUGGUGUUGAAAGGAAGCAGAUCGGUCUUGAUGCGUGCUUGCUUGAUCCUGUCACUCUGAAAUGUUUCUCUGUUUCGGUCUGUUGCUGGAAUGUUGCUCUGUCCUGUGAUGCAACGUUUCUGAAUGCUUGCUGUGGAGCCCUACAGUCUUGAUGUUUUGCUGAAAUCUGAGUGAUCCCAUGACUUCUGUUUGUCUAUUUUCUGAAUAUAAG